GGAGCGGAAGACGGGCUUCUAACCCGCGACCCCCACCUUGGCAAGGUGGGGGUCGCGGGUUCGAGUCCCGUCCGGACCGCCA
RNAcentral lists this transfer RNA (82 nucleotides) under Bacillus paralicheniformis. RNAcentral's name for it is "tRNA-Ala". Lineage: Bacteria; Bacillati; Bacillota; Bacilli; Caryophanales; Bacillaceae. The record is from RNAcentral.